This 1678-nucleotide long non-coding RNA is filed under the name Mus musculus (house mouse). RNAcentral's name for it is "long non-coding RNA chr17:17832953-17834631". The record is from RNAcentral. Lineage: Eukaryota; Metazoa; Chordata; Mammalia; Rodentia; Muridae.
UUUUUUUUUUUUUUUUUUCCUCAACUACAAUGGUUCAUUUUGUUCCCACUAAGUUUUAUAUCAGAGGCCCCCCCAAACAAAGAAAGGGACCAUUUAUUCAGGAGUGUCCAGGACUAUCCAGAAUUUUCUGUGUGUCCAAAGAAAAAUCAGAGGAACCUGAGAGAUGGAAGGAAUGUAGAAUGCUGGGAUAUGGAUACUGUUGUUGACUGGACAUGUCUCCAUAUUGAAAACUUGGAAAAAUAGACCAAGGGUAGCUUUUGGGAGUAGGAGAGCUCUUUCUAAUGUGAGACAGAUUUGGGGGCAGGUGAAGGUUCUGGUUAGAGAGGAGGGGGUCUGAUGCAGAUCUGAGGCCAUAGUGAAGAGGAGUACAACUGUCUCUAGAUCAUGCUCCUGUGGAGUACUACUGUCUCUAGAUCAUGCUCUUGUGGAGUACAACUGUCUCUAGAUCAUGCUCUUGUGGAGUACAACUGUCUCUAGAUCAUGCUCCUGUGGAGUACAACUGUCUCUAGAUCAUGCUCCUGUGGAGUACAACUGUCUCUAGAUCAUGCUCCUGUGGUUAAGCAUUGGCCCCAGAUGCUUCAUUUAGAUCCAGCUUCUUGACUCUGGUACUUCUCCUUGUAGAUGAGCCAUAAUGUACCAUGCUUUAGUUAAUACUUCUAACUCCCUCUUAACAGUUUCAUAGACACAUGUAGUUUGGUUUUACCUUCCAUGCUCUGACAGAAUACCUGGUAAUCAGCUUAAUGGAACAAAGGUUUAUUCUUGAUCACUGUUUGAGGGUAUAGUCCAUCAGGUCAAGAAGACAUGGCAGGAGUGUGAGGUGUCUGCACACACAGGAAGCAGGGAGAGAUGAAUGAUGGUGUUCAGCUUUCUCCAUUUGAUUCACUCUGGAACUCCAGUCCAUGAUAUGGUACCACCCGUAUACAGGGUGCGCCUACCCACUCCUCCACAGGUCCAGAGGUUGGUUUCCAUAAUGAUUCUAAAUCCUAUGAACUUGACAAAAAAGAUGAACUUUCAUACUUGUCUAGGGUCCCCCCAAAGGACAGGACCUCAUUUUAACCUCUCUAAUAAUGCUGUCUCCAAGUACAGUGGCUUUCUCUUCCAUAAUGUAAUGGGGAUUAGGAUGUCACGUAUGAAUAGGGUUGGGGGGUAUACACUGUCAUAUCCAUGUCUACCAGAAGGCUGGUCUCUGGAGAGCUCCAGCUCAUGAACUGGUGGUAUUCUGGUAGUUAGAAUUAAGGCUUCGAAUAUUAAAAUGUGAAGGGGUAGAAAUGAAUGGUGGUUUGCAUAAGGAAGGAGGGGCACUUGGAAGUGCUCUUUUUAAAGGGAAUGGUGGUCACUGACCUGCUAACUACUGCUUUAUGGCACUGUAGCCCAUGUUUUAUAGUUUUGUACAUUUUCAAAUUGUGUGUGUGUUGGGGUGGGGAGGAGGGUUGGUGGAUGUGUGUACCAAAGCCUUUGAAGGCCAGAAGAUGAACUUCAGAUGCCCUGAAGUUGGAGUUAACAGAUGGUUAUGAAUCUCCUGACACGAGUACUGGGAAACAAAGUAGGAUCCUGUGCAAGAGCAGUUCAUUGGUUUAACUUCAGAGCUAUCUCUUCAGCCUCCUUCCCAUUUUAAAAAAGAGAUAGCAAGCUUUUAUAUGAUGUCCCAAAGUCAUAUAUUGGCAACCAGCUCAUAUGC